This 253-nucleotide ribosomal RNA is filed under the name uncultured bacterium. RNAcentral describes it as "partial 16S ribosomal RNA". It matches the Rfam family "Bacterial small subunit ribosomal RNA", at positions 524 to 776 of the family's 1533-position model. The record is from RNAcentral.
UACGGAGGGUGCAAACGUUGCUCGGAAUCAUUGGGCGUAAAGCGCACGUAGGCGGCUUUGCAAGUCCGAUGUGAAAUCCCACGGCUCAACCAUGGAAGUGCAUCGGAAACUGCAGAGCUUGAGUACAAAAGAGGAUCGCGGAAUUCCCGGUGUAGAGGUGAAAUUCGUAGAUAUCGGGAGGAACACCAGUGGCGAAGGCGGCUCACUGGACCGGAACUGACGCUGAGGCGCGAAAGCGUGGGGAGCAAACAGG